RNAcentral lists this ribosomal RNA (396 nucleotides) under Candoia carinata. Its description in RNAcentral is "partial 16S ribosomal RNA". It matches the Rfam family "Bacterial large subunit ribosomal RNA", at positions 1962 to 2573 of the family's 2925-position model. The record is from RNAcentral. Lineage: Eukaryota; Metazoa; Chordata; Lepidosauria; Squamata; Candoiidae.
UAAUCAUUUGUCUACUAAUUAUAGACCAGUAUGAAAGGCCACAUGAGAGCCAAACUGUCUCUUAUAGUUAAUCAAUUAAACUGAUCUACUAGUACAAAAGCUAGAAUGAAUAUAUAAGACCAGAAGACCCUGUGAAGCUUAAACUAACCUAUUAAAUCAACUAAUAGCUACUUUAGGUUGGGGCGACCUUGGAACAAAACAAAACUUCCAAAUAAAAUGAGACAUAACUCAUAUAAAGGCCAACAAGCCACUUCACGACCCAGUACAACUGAUAAUUGAACCAAGUUACUCCAGGGAUAACAGCGCCAUCUUCUUCAAGAGCCCAUAUCAAAAAGAAGGUUUACGACCUCGAUGUUGGAUCAGGACACCCAAAUGGUGCAGUCGCUAUUAAAGGUU